Long non-coding RNA from Harmonia axyridis, 1127 nucleotides. RefSeq lists it as uncharacterized. The transcript has 4 exons. Lineage: Eukaryota; Metazoa; Arthropoda; Insecta; Coleoptera; Coccinellidae. The record is from RefSeq and is a predicted model, not a curated record.
UCAGCCACCAUCAGAGACCUUGGUUGUGGCACUUUGCAGGACAGCGCACAGGACCUUUGAUAAAGCUCAACACUGCAAACGGCACUGGUCACGGCAUAGCAGAUAACAAGCGAGACGGACGCAUAUAAGAACACUGUCGAAAAUUGGCCCAGAUCAAAGUUCAUACCCCAAAGUCUCUGUGAUAGUUAGUAUUAAUUUCCGAUAUGAUAAGAUUCUCUGCUAUUGGAUGCUGUUUGAUUUCGAUAGUGAUCAUGCCCAUCAUAUGUACAAAACGGAACGUGGAACCCUGGAUCGAACACAACGCAAGAGUGGACAGAUUCACCUGCAGCACCCCGCAACCACGUAGCUUCGAUCUCAACGAAAUUCUACCAAGGAAUAGUACAUUAAGGACAGUUGCUGGGACGAUAUACCCCCAGAAGACAGUCCUAUACAGGUGUGAACAUGCUGGAUGUUGCAAGGGAAUCAAACGUUGUCUGCCUAACAGUAUGGAUGAGGUUGAGUUGGUUUUCGCUGUUAUUUCUCCGACAACGAAGCCCGAAUACCAGCAAAUUAUAGCCCUAAAUCAUACGCGGUGUUCUUGCCAAAACAAGAGGGACAAACCGAAAUAAUAAUUCAGAAAUUGGAAAAAAAAACGAAUUGGAUCUACCGAAGUGACUCAUCUGAAAAUAUGACGCAGUUAGAAAUGAAGGAUAUGGUGUUGGAUAGAAGAAAAAUUGAUGACAUUGAAAAUGAGAAAGAUCAAAUGGACAGAGAAAGAUUCACACCUUUCAUCAAGACACUGUCGAAUUUCAAUCUAUAGGACUGGUUUAUCCCCUUGGAAAUGAUUUUUAUGGUCAGCUGAAUGGAUGCAACGAUCUGUGAUAAGAAAAAUUUGAACAAGCAAAUUAGCAAAAUAUCCGUUAGCUGUUAAUUUUUCGAUGUUUUAACAAAUUGAUGCAUGAAGCAAUCAUUUUUAUUGAAAAAAAAUUGUUUAGUACCCAUAUAUUUUUUCAUGUUAAUUAAGAUACCUCCAGUAAUGCAAAUGUCAGUGUUUGUAAUUAAGUGUGAUAGUUUUUAUUUGAUAUACAUAUAUGUUUUACCGACUGAUUUAGAUAGAUUUAAAUAAAGGCCUCAGAAUAUUUCAAUUA